Molecule: long non-coding RNA, 5436 nt
Filed under: Gossypium barbadense (sea-island cotton)
Lineage: Eukaryota; Viridiplantae; Streptophyta; Magnoliopsida; Malvales; Malvaceae
Description: long non-coding RNA (GBAR_LNC004981)
Source: RNAcentral
GGGUUGUCUAUGCUAUUAUUACCUAACCUUAACAAACUAGAUGUACAUGAUAGGAUGAAACUGUAGGGGUGCAAGGAGCUGGGGUUUUGUCCAAUCUGCUAAAGAUUCGGUUGCUAUUCAUCGUCCCCAUGUGAUGAUUAUUGCGGAAACCAAGGUUCGGACCUCAGAAAUGUCUUGAUCAACUUCCUUUUGAUUCUUGGAAGGACACCAAUACCUUGGGCUGAGAGGUGGCUUGCGGCUUCUGUGGAACUCAGCUACGGUCACGAUUGAGGAGCUUUGCAACACUGAACAAGAGAUCCAGGUUCUUGUUAAGAUACGGGGCUCUGGUAUUCGUUAGUUUUUUUUUUUCCUAUCUAUACUAACCUUAUUUAUUAUUUUAGAAAAUUAAUUUGGGAUAAUUUAAAAUGUGUUGCUCAUAACCAUAAUUUAUCCUAAUUGAUGUCGAGUGUGACUUUAAUAAAUUUUUAUCGAGUUAUGAUAAGAAAGGUGGAAGACCGAUCUCCCCACUAAAGUUAGAGUUUCAUGGCUGCUUGAACUGUUGUGAUAAAAUUGACUUCAGUUUUAAUGGUCAUUGCUUUACGUAGUCUAAUUUACGUCAUACUGAUCUAUAGAGGCCUAUUUUUAUUCAUACUAAUCUAUAGAGGCCUAUUUUUAUUCUGCCCAAACAAACCAAAUCAGAAACAAAAAAUAAUAAUAAAAAAAUCAUAAUAAUUUGUGUGGGAAACAUUUUAGAGCUCCUCAAAAACUCUUUAUAUUUCAAAAUACGUGGUUAGAUCAUCCAAAGUUUUGUCUUCUCCUUUGACACAACUUGGAAUGCUAGUAAUGAUGAUCUUUCCCAAAUCAUUGAUAAUUUCAAUAAAGUGGUUGAUAAUUAGAACUGUACGUCUUUUGAAAACGUCUUCUUCAAAAAGAAGAAACUUUUAGCCUGAUUCAAUGAAAUUGAGAAAGCUUUUAAACUUGACCCUAAUGAUUUUCUAGUUGAUCUUCAAGGACAACAUAUGUCUGAAUAUCAAGAUGUGCUUAAACGGGAGGAAGAUCUUUGGGUCAUGAAUUCUAGGGUUAACUACCACUCUUACGCUUAGAAGUUUUAAUAGAAUUGAGGGCAUCAACUAUGUUAAGGGACAGUGCGUGACGGAGCGAAUGAAAAUUUGUAACAUUAUUAUCUUUCUUUGAAAAUCUUUAUGACCAAUAAAAUGCAAAUAUCAUUACCACUUUUGGUUGGGUCUUGUUAUUGGGGGUGGAUAGAAGAACUUCGAAUGAACCUAUUAGAGGGGAAGAGAUUAAUAGAGCAGUUUUCUCCUCUUAACCCUUAUAAAGCCUCGGGACCGGAUGGACUUCAUCCCUUCUUUUUCCAAAAAUGUUGGGAAACGGUGAAGGAAAAAGUGUGUGAUAUGGUUAUUGAUGUGAUCAAAACCUGUAAGAUUCUUGAUGGCAUUAAUGAUACUCUCAUCACAUUUAUCCCUAAAAUCACUAACCUGAUUAUUGUGUCCCAAUUUCGUCCUAUAAGCCUUUACAAUACUUCGCACAAGAUCAUCACCAAAAUGGGGAUAUCUCAGUAAGUAGUGCUUGCCACCAAAUUGUUGGGACUCUUAGAUACACUGCCGGUUCGACUGACAUGAAUUGGAACUGACUAUGUAAAGCAAAUUUGCCUCCUAAACUGAAGUUUUUUAUAUGGGAAUGUGCCCACGAAGUGAUUCCAACCUCAGUUUUCCUUAGGAAAAGAGGAAUGGAGGUAGCGGAUAACUGCCCUCUUUGCUCGAUUUACCCUGAAACUGUCCACCAUUUAUUAAGGCACUAUCAUGAAACCCAUAACUGCCUGAAUGAUGCUACUGGUGCUCCCCCGUCUCAAUCUGUUGAAGCUCUUAGUUGGGCGGAAUGGCCUAAACAUAAUGUGGUUACUCAAGCCUUCCACAGAAAACAUAGGAUACCCAUGAAUGUGUCUUUUUCUAAUGUUUUUUAAACCAGAUCAGUGAUUGAACCGAUCAAGUCACUGAUUUGUCGGUUCGACCGAUCCAAUUAAAAAUUUUAAAAAAUUUUAAAAAAUCGGUUCAACCGGUGCCUGGUCUAACCAAUUCAAAGUCACUCUCCGGACCGCUACCCCAAUCGGUUCCCAGUCCGACCAGCUGAUUCAAACAACACUGGUUUUUUCUUUUCUUUUGCGGGAAAUAUGGCCGCACAGGAAUGGAAAAAAUCUCUAGGAACAGUUCCAGAAUUGAGGAAUCCCCAAGAGAGCUAUCUGCAAAGCGGGAGAGUACUUUGCGCUUGCCGGAAAAAUAAAAAAUAAGCCUUAUCCUCGCUUUAUACCAGUCAAGUGGCAGCCACCAUUGGCCGGUUAUGCUAAAUUAAAUACUGAUGGGUCUUCCAUUGAGAUCCCAGGGAAAGGAGGGGCUGAUACAAUCCUAAGAGACGAGAACAGGAAUUGGAUUAAAGGAUCGCACAUACACAUCCCCUCUUGUAAGAGUGUCGAAGUUGAGCUUUGGGUACUCAAAGAUGGUCUUAUUCUUGUUCAUCAACUCAUCCUACCUAGAUUGAAAAUUGAAGUUGAUGCUGAAAUUGUUGUUAAAAUUAUUAACGAUACUGAUUAUGGUAAUGUGUUUUUUACUCCGAGUACCUACUCUGAUAAGCAGGUCCAGAAAUAAACCUCCAAAAAUAUGAAAAAUUAAAAAAUUCUAACCAUACCCCCGUGACUCUUAUAUACCCAUAUUCAACACUCUAAAUAACAUAGGAUUCAAUAAACAGAAACGCAAGGCAUGUCGAAAACUGCCAUGAUCGAUCAAGCAAAUUAGCUUUACUAGUGAGUUUUAGAACCCACUCGGAAAAUGUAAAUACAGUCUUGACCAAAGUUACAUAGAACGAACAAAGAGGCAGGACAGGUCAAAAACUAAGCAACAUUACAAACCAAAAAGCCACCACAACUUACAAGAAAAAUUACAAUGACAAGGGUGAGAUUAAUUGGGCAAGCAAGUAUAUCACAAGUGCGGCAGGAAGGGCGGCAGCUGAAUUCAUCAAUGUCGAAGCAUUAGAUAAGCUUCCAAAAGGGGCACCUCCUGGGGGAAAUCCAGGAAGAGACCCUGUAGAUGGCACUGUAGAAGUCUUGGGCACUGUUGCGGUGGUGGCACCAUCUGACUGGGGUGCAGGUGCUGGGGCAAAAACUGAAUCCCGAGUUACAUAUGUAGGUGGGGCUACAAGGGGAGGAAAUUGCUGUGGUCCUGCAUUAUUUUGCGAAAUUCAGUUCAAAAUUUAGAUCGGUCAAGAAGCUUUCUAUGACUAUAUAGAAAUAUUUGUAAAUUCUAAAAGGUAUCACAAGUCUUGUCCCAGUAGCGGAAAUUUUUAUUUGUUUGAAAGAAGCAGCAACGGAAGUCAACAAUAUGCACCGGUGAAGGUAACAAAUGGAUUCAUAUCUAUUGUAUUCAAUUAGGGAAGUCCCCAAUCCCCUAAAAGAAAACAAUUUCUAGUAUUUAUGUGUUUUGGAAUCAUAACCUAUAAGAACAGUGAUUGUAUAAACUUCUUACCUGGACAUCGAGGUUGGAGAGAUGAUGACAACCUGCAGAACAAGGACAAGUUGAUAGGUUAAUUUAUUGGAGAAAACUCAAACAUAUGAAUCACUUUUCGCAUAACCGUCAACAAAAGUGGCUAAAAGUUGUAGCUUACGAAGUGAUAAUGGUGCCAUUUGCAUAACCACUAUAAGCACAAGAAGUGACAUUGCAUCCAGCACUACUUUGCUGCACUGUAACGUUCCCUAGCAUGAGAUUGCUGCUUUUACAUUGCAUGCUUGAACAAGAAACAGCCAAAGAAGCAGGCAUGCAGUACAAACUGUACGAAACAAUCGAUAAAGGUUAUAUUUAGGGGAAUGAAUCUCAAGCAGUAAAGACAACUAUAAUCGAAAACUAAUAAACAAAAAUGAAACAGCCCAAUUACUUGCGACUCCCCGGUCCACAGCUGCACUGAACACAAUGGCUAGCAGUAAUAGCAUAGCUCCCGUUUGGCACAAUCAAUCCAUGAUCCGAGGCAUAUUUAGGAAAAUUUGAAGCACAAGCUGAAAGUACCAAAAGAAAACAACGCUAAACCUCCAUUGCUCAUGGUAAACAGACAUAAACAAAGUAGAUACAUAAAAACACAACUCAAUUACCCAAAGCUAAAUAUAGAAACACGCAACCAUUGCCUUAGCUUGAACUAACAAUGCUAAAUCGCUGAAAAUCAUAAAGCAAAGGACUUUGUAGCAGUAAUAUAAAGCCUAAUCCUACUACAAAAGCAAGACAAACACUCAACUACCUGACAAAGGAACAGCUAAAAUGUCGCCAGGCGUAAUAGAAGUACCCCCCAUAGCAUUAACAUUCAUCAAAUCUGUUAUGGUAGUGGAGUAACUCGCUGCAAUUCCAGCUAAAGUAUCCACUGGCUUCACCACAUAUGAAAGGUAAAUAGCAGGGAGUCCAUUAUCAGUCCCAUUAAAACAAGUACACGGCAACGGAACAACAAGGUUUUGCCCAACAUCGAGAACCGAAGGAUCAUCAAUCGAGUUAGCCUCUCUAAUCUGGUCAGCUGACACCAAACCAGCGUAAAUAGAAUCCGCAAUAGACGAAAGCGUGUCCUGGGGUCGGGUCUUGUAGUGAGUGGAAACCGAUUUCCGAAUUCCAUCAACACAAGAACAUAGAAUGGGGAUCUUGACGAAGAGUUGGGAAGGAAGGAUGUGGUUUUCGACAUCCGGGUAAGAGAUAUCGAUGGCGUUGGCCGUGAGGACCGAAAUGGGGUCAACCUGGAAGAGGGAAGCAACCUCGGCGACUUUCAGGUCGGUGUAGAGAGUGUACCCCAACAAGGCAUUGCAUGAAUCAGAGUUGGAACAAGGCUCGAUUGUUGAUUUUGAAGCUACCAAAGCUACAUCGGUGAGAAGCACGAAGCAAAGGAGUUUGUAAAAGGAAAGGAAAUUGGGUUUUUGGUUUGGCAUUGUUAGGUGCAGGGGCUUGAGGAGUAUGGGAUUAUUUUUUCCUUGUUUCGCUUCAGUUAAAGGCAGGGAAAAACAAAAAAAUGGGGGGGGGGGGGAGGGGGGGAAAAUAUGACAAAAAGAGCUUUGGGUUCUUUGCUUUAGUAAGGGUUUUGGGUGUUAGAGAGAAUGGACUAAAAAAAAGGAGUCAAGAUUAAACAAACAAACAAAAAAAGAACCCUUUUCUUCUUUGCUUAUUAUGGUUCAAACUAAUGGACAAAUGUAGCGGCCAUUGAAGGUUUCUAAGGUUUAUCAGCUGGUUUUGCUCCUUCACUUUCACUAUAAUGUAGAAACUUCAACAGCAUAAAUAUGGCUGCUCUCAAGCUGGAAAAUGUUCAGUGUUUAGGGUUUGGGCUUAUUGUUAUCUUCUCUUUUAUUUUUUCAGGGAAAAAAAUGGACUAAAGCAGCAAAGAAGAAGAAAGAGCAGAGGAUGGGGGAGGUGAGGAAGGGAAAGCAAU